Molecule: ribosomal RNA, 420 nt
Filed under: Diapoma alburnus
Lineage: Eukaryota; Metazoa; Chordata; Actinopteri; Characiformes; Stevardiidae
Description: partial 12S ribosomal RNA
Rfam family: Bacterial small subunit ribosomal RNA
Source: RNAcentral
GGGAUUAGAUACCCCACUAUGCUUAGCCUUAAACCUAGAUGCUAAAUUUACAAGCAACAUCCGCCAGGGUACUACAAGCGCUAGCUUAAAACCCAAAGGACUUGACGGUGUCUCAGACCCACCUAGAGGAGCCUGUUCUAGAACCGAUAAUCCCCGUUAAACCUCACCACCCCUUGUUUUCUCCGCCUAUAUACCGCCGUCGCAAGCUUACCCUGUGAAGGUCUAAUAGUAAGCAAAAUGGGUAUAUCCCAAAACGUCAGGUCGAGGUGUAGCUUACGAGGUGGGAAGAAAUGGGCUACAUUUUCUAUAUCAGAAUAAUACGAACAGCACCAUGAAAUUGAUGCUCGAAGGUGGAUUUAGUAGUAAAAAACAAAUAGAGAGUCUUUUUGAACCAGGCUCUGAGACGCGUACACACCGCCC